This 77-nucleotide transfer RNA is filed under the name Gammaproteobacteria bacterium. RNAcentral describes it as "tRNA-Pro". It matches the Rfam family "tRNA". Rfam says of the family: Transfer RNA (tRNA) molecules are approximately 80 nucleotides in length. The record is from RNAcentral. Lineage: Bacteria; Pseudomonadati; Pseudomonadota; Gammaproteobacteria. RNAcentral also lists the same sequence under 9 other names.
CGGGGUGUAGCGCAGCCUGGUAGCGCACCUGCCUUGGGCGCAGGGGGUCGGAGGUUCAAAUCCUCUCGCCCCGACCA